GCUUGGCCUUUUCUUGUUCUUGGAGGUUGGCUCUGAUGUUUCAGCCUCUUCUGGAGCUUCCAGCUGCUGGUUCUCUGGCCACUCCUGCUGGUUCUCUGGCCACUCCUGCUGGUUCUCUGGCCACUCCUGCUGGUUCUCUGGCCCCUCCUGCUGGUUCUCUGGCCACUCCUGCUGGUUCUCUGGCCACUCCUGCUGGUUCUCUGGCCACUCCUGCUGGUUCUCUGAACUCCACUCCUGCUGGUUCUCUGAACUCCACUCCUGCUGGUUCUCUGAACUCCACUCCUGCUGGUUCUCUGGCCACUCCUGCUGGUUCUCUGAACUCCACUCCUGCUGGUUCUCUGAACUCCACUCCUGCUGGUUCUCUGGCCACUCCUGCUGGUUCUCUGAACUCCACUCCUGCUGGUUCUCUGGCCACUCCUGCUGGUUCUCUGAACUCCACUCCUGCUGGUUCUCUGAACUCCACUCCUGCUGGUUCUCUGGCCACUCCUGCUGGUUCUCUGGCCACUCCUGCUGGUUCUCUGGCCACUCCUGCUGGUUCUCUGGCCACUCCUGCUGGUUCUCUGGCCACUCCUGCUGGUUCUCUGAACUCCACUCCUGCUGGUUCUCUGAACUCCACUCCUGGUUCUCUGCCCAUGCCUGCUGCCUCCUUGGCCCCUCCUGCUGGCCAUCUCCAGAUCCAACAGGCUCUUGGCUUACCUGUUGGCCUGUGGCCCAUCCCGGCAAUGCCUGACCGUGGUUGGAAUCGUGGCUGUGUUGGGUGGUUGGACACCGGGUGUUGAUUUGAGCAUCAGCCUCCAGAUUCAUCUGCUCCAGUCUGAACAUUUCUUUCUGUCUGGCAAUUCCAAUCUCUCGUUUUUUAUCCUGCUCCUCUUGUUGUCUUGCCCUCUCCUGUUUUCUUUCCAUCUCCAGCCGUCUUUCCUCCUUCUCCCUCCUGAUUUGUUGUCCUCUUUCUAUGUGUUCUCGUUCCCCCUUCAACACUUCUAACCUCCUCUCUUUACGUCUAUUGAAGACUUCCCGUGCUUUAGCUUUAACAUUAACUACUACAUCUUUCUUCAUGCUUACUUCCUUUCCUCUCUCUUCUCUUUCCAUGUACUCUUCCUCUGCUUUCUUAAUAAUCACUUCCUGCUUUUCUUCCAUCUCUCUCUCCUGUUCUAUCUCCAGUUCAUUCUGCCCCUCAUUUCUUCUUCCUGCUUCCUCCCUCUCUCUCAUAAUCAUAUUUUCUUUCUCCAUCUUUUUCUGUUGCUGAUCUUUUAAUUCCAUCUCUCCCUGAUUCUCAUUGUCUUUCUCCCUUUCUUUCUCUUUCUCCAUUUGUUUCUGUCGCUCCUCUUGUUGUCGUCUGUGUAUCUCUUCUAUCUUUCUCUGUAUCUUGUUCUCCCUCUCUCUUCCCUCCUUCUCCAUGUCAAUUUGCUUCUGUUUCCAUAUAUCUUCUUCUUCUGAUCUCUCUCAAACUUUCUCUUUCUCUCCUCUUGUUGUUGUCGUCUCUCUUUCUCUCCCAUCUCUCUCUGUCUCUCUUUCUCAUCGACUUAUUUCUCUCUGUCUCUCUUGCUCUCUUUCCAUACUUUUCUGUCUCUUCUCCAUUCUCUUUCUUUUGAUCUGUCUCUGUCUCUCUUUCUCCCUCUCUCGUUCUUUCUCUUUCAUCUCUAUUUGCUUCUGUUUGUGUCUCUCCUCUUCUUCUUCUUCUCUCUCCAUCUCCUUCUUCUUCUCAUCUUCUUGUUGUCUCUGUUUUGGUAUUUUCUCCAUUCUCUUUCUUUCUACAUCUUUCUGUUUGUUGUUCUCACCCUCCAUCUUCUCCUCCAUGUCCAUUUGGUUCUGUUUCCAUAGAUUUUUGUCUGUUUCCAUAUUUUCUAAUUCUAUCAGCUGUUCCUUGAUUUUCUUGAAGACUUCCUCCAAUUCAGACGUCUUUUUGUCAUUGAUGAGGGCUGUCUCCAUCUGCAUCUCUCUCUCCACUCUAUUUUUCAUCUCCUCUUCUCUUCGUCUCCAAUCAUUUUCUCUCUCUCUGUCUCUAUCAAAUGUUCUCUCUGGUUCAGUCUCAUCUUUCAAUCUAAUCUCUUCUUUCAUUCUCGCAACCUCUCUGUCUAACACUAGUACAUUUUGGUUAACCUGUUUCACUCUCUCAUUCUGUCUUCUAUACGCUUCUUUCGCUCUUUCAAAUUUGAUUUUGUAUUGCAUUUCUUUUGUUGUCAUAUCUUCUUUCAGUCUCUCAACCUCUCUCUCUAACUCUUUUGCCUUUUCGUUAACCAGUUUGACUUUCUCAUUCUCUGCAAUACGCAUGUCUCUUCCUCUUUCAAAUAUUAUCUCCUUUUCAAUCUCUUUCAAUCUCUCAAUCUCUCGUUCUAACGCUUUUAUCGUUUCUUCUGCCUGUUUCACUUUCUUCUUCAUUUCUUGUCUUUCCAAUUCUGCUUUUCUCUCCCUUUCCAUCUCCCUUUCUCUCUCUUUUUCCCUCUCUCUUUCCCUCUCUCUUUCUGUCUCAAUAGGUUUGUUGUUCCAGGCCAGUCUUGGUCGCUGAUCCUCCAUGACUUUCUGCCAUAGCCUCAAUCUCUCUAUCUCUUGCUUCAUUUUAAAAGGUGAAAUUAGUGAUAAUCUAUGACCAAGACAUACUUUCAAAGGAUUUGCAGAGAAUGAUACAUAGAAAUACAACCUAGACCUAGGUAAUUGAAUCAAACACUGGACAACAUCAAUAGCAGGGUUAUUUUGAUCAAUUCAUCUGGACAAUUCAUUGUCAAUUAAUGUAUUGACAUGUUUGAAAGAAUUAUGAGACAUUUUAUGGACAAAUACAAACACACAACUAGCUUGCCCAUUCAGUUAGGGGUUUGAGAAAUUCCCGUUGCAAUUUGUGUGAUGUUACAACAAUGUUACCUCUGAUGUUUAUGCUUGUAGAAAUUACUCCUACAAAUGAUGUUUCACUAAUGCAAUUAUUUACAACCUGCACACAUACAGUUAUCAACAACAACAACAGUAAUGAUGUUAAUAAGGAAGUGGAUAUUCAACCGGCAGAAGAAAGGCAUAGGGGUUGAGAUAAAUGAAGGUUAGGUUCAGGACCUAGAGUUGGGUUAAGGUAAAGGUUAGGUAUAGUUUCAGUGAGGUCAAGGUAAGGGUUAACGUUAAGGAAAGGCAUAAAAGUUAACAUUUGGUUAGCGUACCGCUGUCCGCCACGAUUCAUUGCCUUUUAAUAAUAACAAUGACAUGUCUUACGUGGGCCAGUUGUAGAUCCACCAUCAGUAGCUCCAGCAGAUGUUUGAGGCUCUUGAUCUCCUGCAUUUUUCUGUUGUUCUCCUUCGCUUCUGUGACUCUCUGUGCCUCCCUUUCU
This 3307-nucleotide long non-coding RNA is filed under the name Salmo salar (Atlantic salmon). Its description in RNAcentral is "lncRNA (ENSSSAG00000117498.1)". Lineage: Eukaryota; Metazoa; Chordata; Actinopteri; Salmoniformes; Salmonidae. The record is from RNAcentral.